CCAUAAUGCGCAAUGGACCUCUUCCUGGUUGCGCACAGAAAUAGAUCGCCGUUCGUAAUAUUGCUAGUGUUAUUUUUGGAUUGUGCUUUCAGAUUAACAAUUUCGGGUCACUAACAAUGUUUUUUAGCAUCUUCGGUGUCUUUCUAUCAAAACUAUGGAUUGACAAUUUCUUAUUACCCAAAUUCGUCAUCACAUGUCAAACCUCUUCUGGAUCAGUAGGUUACUUGUCCUCUUCAACCCGGAAAAUGUUGCAUUUUUAAAGAAAUUUAAAAAAGAGAGCGAAUGUUAAUCUGAUCCGUACGUAUUCAUGAGUCUAGUUUUUAAAAACAUCUUCACGCAAGACGUCAGAAAAGACUCCUCGACAGUGAACAUAAGGAGGAAGGGGCAGGGGGACCCAGACAUCUGGAGUUGUCAACUGUUAUAAAAACUGGCUCACUGAACUGGAGGGGCACCUACAAGAGCCUACCAUCAUUUCCCCAGAAAGCUGACAGACUCCUGGCCGAGUUUCCAACUUCCCCCACCUGUCAGCAGGGGCCCCAGACAGCUGGAUCCUCAUCUGAGGCCACAUGUGCAGGUGUGGCAGAGACAGGCCAGUCCUGCGCCACACAGUCACCUUCAUUGACUGAAGUGCUGAGUGAGAGCUGUACCACUUCAAAGGAGAGAGCACUGCCAGCACUGAGUCAAGUCUGCAGACCCACCCCUCUGAAGGAUAUCAUGGUUUCACAGGGUGGAGAAGGCUCCAAGUUAGUUUUGGCUGGGGAAAAAGCUCUCUGUAGUUGAGCUUUUUUUAAAAAAUAACCUUAUCUUGUACUUUUUUAGCCGCCCCUUUUUCAGUAAGUGGCAUUCCAUUCACACCAAAAUUCAAAGGGUAGGAGAUGUGAGUCUAGGCCCUAAUAUAGCUCUGUACUGGAAACUAAUACUGCCAUGCGCACUCUAUCAGAUCAUAUCACAGUGGAGUGCCGGCAGUUCUGCAGACAUGGUAUUAUUUUUCAAUAGUGCCCUUCUUAGAGAACCAUUUUGAAAUCCCUGAAUGCAGCAACAUCAAGAAAUAUGGUAUCCCGUUUUCCACAUAGGAAAGUGAGAAAAGGCCGGAUGAGGGUUGAUCGGUUUAGUUCCUGUUCUACAGAGUAAAUAUUUAAUUUAAUCCACCUAUCUUCCAACACACCAAAUCCAGUACAGGGUCACAGGGAGGGCCGGAGCCUAACCUGGCAAGCAAUGAGCACAAGGCAGGAAACACCCUGAACACCGGUCCAUCACAGGGCACAAACACACACACUCACAACAGAGUCACUUUUACAGAAGACAACCUUAGGAUUCUGAACAGGCUGGAGGGUUGUAGGUUCAAGUCCUACAUGUGCUGCUCCGUUGUACCAAACUGCUGCUGAGAGAGCUGAAGUGCAGGGUGAUCUCUCUGGGUUUACAGGUCCGAGUCUGGACCAUGUCACUAACCAAGUGUGACCGGGAUUCUUCCAGAGGCAGUGUACAACCGACUAAGUGCUACCAAGGGUGUGGUGGAAUUAGUUAUUUAUCAGGAUUGGGAUCGUGGUGACAUACUGAUUCCUGAGGUGCACAUGAUAGUGUUGGUAGUGGUGCCCAAGAAGUGUUAAUAAGAUGAAGCAAAAAAAACCAAAAGGCUAGUCCUAUCCAAUAUUAUCUGAGCAGCCAAUUAGAGACAGAUUCGGUUCUAGGGUAUAGAGGGUAGACUCAAAGUCUCAAUAUACUUUUAAAAAUGGUAGACCCACUAGCUGUUUCUUUGUGUCUUCUGUCGUCCUCCUCUUUCGUUUUACUCUUUUUUGGGAGGGAUGUAAGAAGUGGAGUGGAAAUUCUGUAUUUUCCCUUUCCAUAAUUUAGUCUCAGAUGAAACACUCCCAAUGAUGUACUAUUUAGUGUCCUGUAACAUUACUAUAAGAUUAAACUUAUGCAUCAUGUUUUUUGGUUGGUUAAAAAACAACAACUCAUUGGUGAGGAGAUGGGAAAGUCAUUUAUUCUGUCCACCAUGCAGCUCAGCGAGCAGUGACAGGAAAAACACAAUUGGCUAUUCCAGAUCCAGUGCAAAUAAAAUAACAAAAUCUACAUUACAAAUAUAAUUCGCCAAUUUUAAUUUAGGAAAAACUAAAAAUGCUCCUGUAAGGUUCCUGCUGUUGUCAUUAUAAUGAAGAAUUUAUGCUUAAUUGACCUGUGCAAACAUUGCAUAGAACAGAGAGAAUCACAACACCAACUGCUGUUUUCAUGUUUUUCAAUGGCAAAACACAGGAUAUUAACAGAUCGGGAUUGUGCCAGUGAUACAAGAUAUUACUACAAGAUCUGUGCACAUUCAUGUUGACCAGUUAAAAAGGAAACAGCAAACCAAUUAAAAUGACAAAAAAUCUACCAACCAAAGGGCUUGGGGGUGAAAAGGCUGAAACAUAAGAUGAAAUAAGGAAAAAAUCUCAGACUUUGCAAGGCACAUACAAUCUUACUCUCAGCUCUCCGCUCUCAGCUCUCGGCUCUUCCUAUCACUCACUGGAGAGCACAGAGCUUCCUGUUUGGGUGCUGAACUAGUGAGACUCAAGGCAGGCAGGACAGGAGAUCUGGAGCUACAUAAAAAUCUGAGCCAGAUAUAACAGAUAGUGACUCCUGGGGCUGCACACCCCUUUUGAGCCCAGUGCCUCUGAUUAACCAGACUGGAUCUAUUUUGGUAACCACUCUCAAGUGAAAGUGAUUAACUCAGUGUGCACAGGAGCAGAAAUGUCCAGUUCUCCUCCCAUUGUGUAAGCAUCAGUCCCACACAUGGCCACCUGCUGUGGAUUUUGCAUGGCCGUAUUAUCUCUGAGUCACAGUACAGCUAGAAAUUGUAGGUUGGGGUGUUUCAGCUGAGGAUGAGGGGGCAAAAUUAAAAUCAGAUGGCACGCUGUCUGAUCUGCAUUGCCUAAUCAAAUGCAGCUGAAUAAUGGCAGCAACCUAAUUACAGAAAAAGCCUUUGUAAAUGGCUAACAAGUUUAAAUGAAUGAAGCGAGUAAGAGUAAGAAUGUCAAACCGUACACAGCCCUGUAUGUGUACCUCAGACCUUCUGAAUGGGUCAGAGAGGUAUCAAAUGGAAACAACAAAAAAAUUCAAACAAAUUCUCUCCUACCGUCCGGUAAACGGUACCGAAGCAUUCGGUCCAA
Long non-coding RNA from Lepisosteus oculatus (spotted gar), 3146 nucleotides. RefSeq lists it as uncharacterized. The record is from RefSeq and is a predicted model, not a curated record. NCBI's taxonomy places the organism in Eukaryota, Metazoa, Chordata, Actinopteri, Semionotiformes, Lepisosteidae.